ACUGGCGACGACGUGGGCCGGUGGUACAAGGUGGGAGUCGGGCCACCCCGACUGUCCUAGAUCUGGAGGGAUUGAGAUGUUUGGGGGCCUGGUGAUGGACCCCAUAGUAGAUGUAAAUUAUGGUUUAGAAUAUCUAAAUAUUAAAUAAUUUAGUUUGUGAUUUGUAAUUAAUGUUGUAGAGGAAGAGUCGGCGGUGCCAGGAGAUUUUGAUCAGGGGACUCAGCACCCCAGCGUGUAGGUUGUGAUUCGGAUCCAUGUUUGAGUCAAUCUACAAUCUCUGUAAGGAUCCCUACAUCUGAGCACUUCUAUUUAUACAUAUAUUGGAUUUAUAGUUGGAUAUAUUUUAUCAGUAUGUUGCUAUUUGUUUUUGAGCUUGUAUGACACUAUGAGGUGUGCAUUUUGUUUAUUAUGAAAGUAUUGAAAUAAUUAAAUUGGGAAGGAAUAACAUAUUUUUAAGAAAUUAUGAAAAUAUGUGACGUGAUUGAAAUGUGAUUAAACAUGUAAAACUAGACAUGUAAAAUGGAUUGGACUAACCUUGUCAUGAGAUAGCCUCUACGAGCUUAUGCGUAGGAUAGCUGCCACGAGCUUAUGCGUGGGAUAGCCUCUACGAGCUUAUGCGUAGGAUAGCCUCCACGGGCUUACGCGUGGGAUAGNNNNNNNNNNNNNNNNNNNNNNNNNNNNNCUACGGGCUUACGCGUGGGAUAGCUGCCACGAGCUUAUGCGUGGGAUUUGUGCAGUCUUGGACUGGGUCAUGAACUUGGUUAGUCCAA
This 770-nucleotide long non-coding RNA is filed under the name Phoenix dactylifera (date palm). RNAcentral's name for it is "long non-coding RNA (PDAC_LNC014840)". Lineage: Eukaryota; Viridiplantae; Streptophyta; Magnoliopsida; Arecales; Arecaceae. The record is from RNAcentral.